This is a long non-coding RNA of Hyla sarda, 607 nucleotides long. RefSeq lists it as uncharacterized. Lineage: Eukaryota; Metazoa; Chordata; Amphibia; Anura; Hylidae. The transcript has 4 exons. The record is from RefSeq and is a predicted model, not a curated record.
UCUAAUAGCCUGUGUCUUUGUGCUUCCUCCAGAAGCUGUUCUAUUGUGUAAGACAACAAACACCUGGGAGGUGCUGCUGUCAGACCAAUCAGUUACUAACUUUGACCUAUGUCAUAUUCUUGUUCUAGAAGUAUCUAUCAGUUUGCUUUCUCCAGGUGUUACUUAUCUUCCCUGGCUGGAAUUAUGGACCUACACAUUUGGCAAGUUCAUUCUACUACAUGGUGUAGUAGUAGACCAUGGCAAGAACCUUAAACUUACUACCUUACCAGUCAUUGAAUCUACAUAAGACAAGACAAGACAUGACAUGACAUCUAGCAAAAAUAGUAUGGUAUGAGUUUAUUCUACUACCCGGUAUAGAAGACCAUGUAAUGAACAUUCAACAACUUCCUACCUUACCAUACUCAGCUCCAGACAUGCUAUUAGCAGAAGUCUUGACAUCUUGCCAAAAUCAUAUGAUCCUCACUUCUGCACUUUGUUCUGUGAAGUAAUCAACAGUUUCCACUAUGAAAAUCUCUGGCAACAUGAAAACCUACCCGGGCUCCAUUGUCCCAGUUACAAAAGUUUAAACAUUUUUAUUUUUUUUCUUACAUAAAAUAUACAUGUCUUC